GACGAACGCUGGCGGCGUGCCUAACACAUGCAAGUCGAACGGAAAGGUCCGGCUUAUGUGGGGAGCUCGAGUGGCGAACGGGGGAGUAACACGUGAGUAACCUGUCCCUGACCGUGGGAUAACCUCAUAAAACUGGGGCUAAUACCGGCUAGGAGCUCCUGCUGCAUGGUGGGGGUUGGUUGGUUUCGGUGGUUGGGGGGGGACUCGCGGCCUAUGAGCUUGUUGGUGGGGUAGUGGCUUACCAAGGCCUUGACGGGUAGCAGGGCUGGGAGGGUGAGAGGCCACAUUGGGACGGGGAUACGGCCCAGACUCGUACGGGAGGCAAGGGUGGGGAAUAGUGUACUAGAGGCUGGACGCUAGUGUAGUCACGCCGCGUCGGGUAUGAGAGCAAUCGGGUUGUAUAGCGCAUUCGCCUGUGACGGGACGUGAGUGACGGUAAUGGGUAAAGAAGCACCGGCUAACUACGUG
RNAcentral lists this ribosomal RNA (468 nucleotides) under uncultured bacterium. RNAcentral's name for it is "partial 16S ribosomal RNA". It matches the Rfam family "Bacterial small subunit ribosomal RNA", at positions 28 to 507 of the family's 1533-position model. The record is from RNAcentral.